Long non-coding RNA from Ictalurus furcatus (blue catfish), 1777 nucleotides. RefSeq lists it as uncharacterized. The record is from RefSeq and is a predicted model, not a curated record. NCBI's taxonomy places the organism in Eukaryota, Metazoa, Chordata, Actinopteri, Siluriformes, Ictaluridae. The transcript is spliced from 3 exons.
UGUAAUUAGAAAGGAGCACUUUUAAAGUGGAUUUGAUUAAAAUAAUGAUAAAGCUGUUUUUUAUGUAUUUGUAUAUAUUAUCCUCUAUCGUGUUUAAGAAGAAGAGAAUAAUGAAGCUUUUUAUGAAAUAAUAUUUGGGUUUAUUUUAUUUUAUUUUCUCCUCACAGAUUCAAAUUUACGUCAACGUCCGUUACGUUGGUGACGUCACCGCGAGCACGAGAAGUCGAAGUGAGGAGCAGAAAGCGUUGUUAGUGUUAGUGUUAGUUCUGGCCCGUUUGGACCCAAAAUAAAGUGAGUUUAUUCGGUUCUGUGUAACCAAACCCGUUCUGUGCUGUAUUGUGUGUAUGUGUGUAGUUAACGGUGUUAACACCUGUGUUUCAGGUGUAUCAGUAUGAAGCAGGCGGUGACGGCGCACUGAUUCACUCUCGGAGCUCGGUUCACUAAUGACCGAAUCACUGAGGAACCGACCAAAGAUAUCUCACACCCGCACGGAGAAGAAGAACAAGAGGAGAAGAAUACGAUCUGCAGAUCACUGAUAGGAACCAGGUUCUGCUGGUCAGUCACGUUAGGAGGUUGGGUCCUGCAGCAGCUCCUCCACCAGGACCUGUCUUACUCAUCCCGGAGUUCUGCUACCUCACAGGUCUCCCGCACAGAGCGGGAGAAACACAGCGCUUAAUCAUUGUCUGCUUCUUAUCGCACUAAUUGUUGUAACUUGCUCAGGUCUGACUGAUAAGAUGCGCACGACUUUAACAUCAUGAAGGACCUUUCCACUCACACCAGACUGACCCCAGAACAGUGGGAGAACCGCCUCAACAGAUUCAUCAACAACAUGAGCAGGAAUGCCAGUGUUCAGACUACACUCAGCACAUGGGGUCUAAGCUUUGAGAACAAGCUGCUGAAUCUGACUGGAAGAGUUCUUCCUGCUGAGAGGAUCCUACAGGGAGCGAGAGCAGUAAGGGGGACCACAGAACACAGAGAACACAGAACUGUACACAACACGUGUCGCACUCUUGCUGAGUAGAGUUUGUGUGUGUGCGCGCAGUACGAGCGCAGUGCGCGCAGUACUUCAGCAAGACUUUAACGCGAACACGCUUUAAACCGGUAUUUCCCGUCGCAGCACACGCACAGGUUUGUUUAAGAUUAGCACGCGCACACUUAUAAUAUUGUCACUACAGAUCCCAUGGAAAUGAAUGCUACUUUUAAAUGGUUUUACUCUUCAACUUAUAAAUCUGAAUUUCCUGCAGACGAUACUAAAGUGAAUGCAUUUCUUCAAGACCUUUGUAACCCUGUUAUUGAUUUGAAUACUGCCAUGCAACUGGACUCCCCACUCUCUCUUGAAGAAAUUUGAAAUUCAGUUAAAACUAUGCAAUCUAACAAAGCUCCUGGCCCGGACGGGUUUCCAGUUGAAUUUUUUAAAACGUUUAUUGGAAAAUUAGCUCCAUUGCUUUUAUCUGUGUUCAACGAAUCUUUGGAAUGUGGGUCUUUGCCUCCAACUCUGACACAAGCCACUAUAGCUCUCCUUCUUAAGGAGGGUAAGGAUCCGUCCUCCUGUGGUUCUUAUAGGCCGCUGUCUCUGCUUAAUGCAGAUGUAAAGGUGUUGGUGAAAGUAAUGGCAUCUCGUUUAGAGGACGUUAUCCCUUAUAUCUGAAGAGCAAACCGGUUUUAUAAAGGGACAUCAGUUGUUUUUCAAUACCCGUACGCUCUUUAAAUUAUUCAAAGCAUUCGGCUGAGAUUGGGAUUUCUUUAGAUGCUGAAAAAGCAUUUGACAGGGUUGAGU